AAAUCUGGCCUUGAACUCCGAGCACAAGUGAUCUUCCUGCUUCUGCCCCACAAAGUGCUGGGAUUACAGGUGUGAGUGAUAGUGUCCAGCCCAGAGUCCAGGGACUUAACUGCAGUGUUCUACUUUGCCCCAAACCAGCUCAGUUGCCUCUGGGUCUCAGUAAUUCAAGUUUUACAAUUAUUAUUUAUAUACUCACAGUCUGUGAAAUUUAUACAACACAAAAUUAUGUGAACACACUGCCAGUUCCCCUCGCCAGGCCAGCGAGGGACCCGGCCAGCGAGGGCCCAGCUGCCGAGACUGCACAGCUCCACAGCAAACCCUCCCCUGCCUCGGGGAGGCCAUCAAACCUUACAAGGAAUUGAAGAGUAGAUUUAUUAAAUAAUAGGAUACAUGAUGGAUUAGAAAAUUAUUGACUAGAUAAUGCAAAUUUAGAGCCAUAUAUAAAAAUUGUGGCCCCGUAGGGAUAAGUAGGCCUUAUCUUGACUGGACUUUCCCUGUGUUACUCAUGCUUAUUCUUUUUAUUAUUUUAUUCUACUUUUCCCACAGUGCUCUGUGCUUUGGGGUCAUUCUGAUUCCCUCUGACCGGUCCCCAAAAGGAAGCCUCCUUCACGGCACCUUUUGUUGUCCUUGAAGAAAGUUUUUGGUACAGGCACUUCAAAAGACUAUGGAGGCAAAGCACCUGACCCAUCCUUUCCAAAAUAUUUUUUAAUCAUCAGAAUUACACUAAAGAGUAGGAAAAUUCCAGAGAAUCAGCAAAGUUGAAUACAAGAGACUAAUGUACACAGAGGGCAUAGAGUGACCCACUUUUUAUUGCUGGGUGUCUUUUUUUUUUAAUCAAAGAGCAAAGUAAUCACACAGACACCAUUGCAUGGCACAUCCAUAGUUUUCUGCUUAAGGGAGAAUGUACUCAUUCAGCAGUAGGUUUCAGUGAGAUUUCUUUAGGCUUCCACCUUACACAUUGCAACAAGAUUCACAAUCACUACUUCUCCUUAGUGUAUUUCUUUAUAACUCCAACAUAUGUCAUUUCUCAAAGUAUUCAUUUCUUGCUGUCUAACAUACAUUCUUAUUUGGAAGCAUAAAGUUAUAUUACACGAAUAUUUUGCAUUUUUAAAAAUAAGCACUUUUGCCACUUCUGCAACACAGUGCUUCACAUAGUGGUGCAAUAAAAGCAGAGCACAUAUUUACCACACUACUUAAGAUUCAUUUUACCACUACCAUCUGCCAAACCCAUAUUGCUUUUUCCUCCAUACCUCUGGGCAGUGACUGUACCAUGAUUUCACAGAGAGAAUGUUAGUAUGACUUACGAAUAACAGUACCAUCAGUAAUACUGAAAUCAAUGAAGAUGACCCAAAAUAUGAACUUCUCAAGGAGUAACUUCUUUUAAAUAUUUGGGCAACUCUGUUUUCUCUGUUGUAUUGUCCACUGAGAAAAAAAAAUCCUGUUCGAUUAUGCUCUUACAGAAGUUAUAAAAAACCAGAUUAGGUAUAUAACUGGUUGACACUUAAGAUACUGUACUGCUUUCUACAACAGAAGAACUUCCGAAAAAUGUUCUAUAGAACUAUAUUCAUCAAUACCACCUCGUUGGUCCAUUCCAUUCAUUGAUGGGCAAAGCACUCAUGUUUUGACAAAACUUUAAAGCUUCCAUAAAAGUUAAAUUAGAAAAAAAAAAUGAAAAUGA
Molecule: long non-coding RNA, 1678 nt
Organism: Chlorocebus sabaeus (green monkey)
Lineage: Eukaryota; Metazoa; Chordata; Mammalia; Primates; Cercopithecidae
Source: RefSeq, a predicted model, not a curated record